CUAUGGGGCGGCGGAUUUCCCAUGGCGGAAAGGAG
Molecule: non-coding RNA, 35 nt
Filed under: unclassified sequences
Source: RNAcentral